ACGGACCUGAUAUUAGGCAAGAUUACCCGCU
Molecule: ribosomal RNA, 31 nt
Filed under: Hyaloperonospora nesliae
Lineage: Eukaryota; Oomycota; Peronosporomycetes; Peronosporales; Peronosporaceae
Also listed under: 1 other name
Description: partial 28S ribosomal RNA
Source: RNAcentral